This 301-nucleotide ribosomal RNA is filed under the name uncultured bacterium. Its description in RNAcentral is "partial 16S ribosomal RNA". It matches the Rfam family "Bacterial small subunit ribosomal RNA", at positions 509 to 808 of the family's 1533-position model. The record is from RNAcentral.
CAGCCGCCACGGGAAUACGUAGGGGGCAAGCGUUAUCCGGAAUAACUGGGCGUAAAGGGUGCGCAGGUGGUUUAACAAGUUAGUGGUGAAAGGCAUAGGCUCAACCAAUGUAAGCCAUUAAAACUGUUUAACUUGAGUGCAGGAGAGGAAAGUGGAAUUCCUAGUGUAGCGGUGAAAUGCGUAGAUAUUAGGAGGAAUACCAGUGGCGAAGGCGACUUUCUGGACUGCAACUGACACUGAGGCACGAAAGCGUGGGGAGCAAACAGGAUUAGAUACCCGAGUAGUCCCUGUCUCUUAUACA